Molecule: long non-coding RNA, 184 nt
Organism: Tachyglossus aculeatus (Australian echidna)
Lineage: Eukaryota; Metazoa; Chordata; Mammalia; Monotremata; Tachyglossidae
Exons: 3
Source: RefSeq, a predicted model, not a curated record
UUGCCUUUGAAUCAUAGUAAUGGCUGGGAUUAGGAAACUAAGGGUGGAUUUUGGAAGGAGGCUUUGAUCUGCUUACUGGGUCCAGUAUUGGAAUAAUCAGGGGAUUGGGAUCCAGAUGAUACAAUACAGCUUCUCGCUGUGGCUGGGGAAGUUCUAAAGGACACUUGGCUCCUGCAAUCCACCA